AUGGCCGGGAUGUGCCGGGUACGGGGUCCUGGGGGGUUUGGAGGGCUCCGGGCGACCGUGACCCCGCUGGAGUGCGGGGGGGACCUCCAGCCCCCCGGGGGGUCCCUGACUCUGCUCUGCCGCGCCUCCGGGUUCAAUUUCAGAAACUCCUACAUGUGCUGGGUUCGCCAGAGCCCCGGGAGGGCGCUGGAAUGGCUCGCAGAGAUCAGCAGCAGCGGUGGCAGCACCGCCUAUGCGCCGUCGGUGCAGGGCCGGUUCACGAUCUCCAGGGACAACGGGCAGAGCUCGGUGACGCUGACCAUGAACAGCCUCAAGGACGAGGAUUCCGCCGUUUAUUUCUGUGCCACAAACACUGGUGCUGGUUAUGCUGAUGCAUAUGGUGUUGAUGGUUUCGGCCCCGUCCCCUUCCCCAGGUCCCCAAAUGUCCCCAAACUCCAACCCUUGACUGUGACCUUGGGCACUGACCCCGAUUCUUCAGCCCUGGGCCCAAAGUUGAGCUCUGAAUCUUUUUGGUUCCGUUUGAAUUUGUUGGAAUCUUUUUCCUAG
Molecule: non-coding RNA, 546 nt
Organism: Catharus ustulatus (Swainson's thrush)
Lineage: Eukaryota; Metazoa; Chordata; Aves; Passeriformes; Turdidae
Source: the annotation of a RefSeq genome assembly